Molecule: long non-coding RNA, 527 nt
Filed under: Eucalyptus grandis
Lineage: Eukaryota; Viridiplantae; Streptophyta; Magnoliopsida; Myrtales; Myrtaceae
Description: long non-coding RNA (EGRA_LNC005772)
Source: RNAcentral
GAGGACAAUCCAAGAAAUAGAAGACUUUAACGUAGCUGAGGGAUUGACGCUUGCAUCUUUCAUUCAUCCUUGAUGGUUCCUUAGGAGUCCUACUGUGGAGUGUCUGCUGCAUGGGAUUCUUCUCUACCUUUGGCUGCAUCCUGCCUUAUUCUUGCUUGCCACGUUGGGCUGGCUGGUCACCUUCUUUUGCUUUGGUCAUUCUUUAGGAGGUGAUCGUCUGCAUCCUGCCUUAUUCUUGCGCCUUAUUCUUGCUUGCCACGUUGGGCUGGCUGGUCACCUUCUUUUGCUUUGGUCAUUCUUUAGGAGGUGAUCGUCUUUGUUUUGUUUGUGCCUUCUAGCUUUUGCCUUGUUGGCUUUUCCUUUAUUUCGACACCCUUCCACUCAUUAUGCCUCGUUUGUUUUGAGUGUAAGCUGGUGUCAUUGCUUGUACAUAUUGGCUAAGCUUAAUACAAUUACUGUUCACCAAAAAAAAAGAAAAAAGACUUUUAGGAUAGAAUUUAAACUGGAUAUAGAGAUGAUGGUUUUUU